GGGUAAUGGCAGGCCUGCUUUUUUUGGACCUUAUUCUCAUGUUGUGCUGUGUCAAAAUCUGGUGUAACUGGAAGAAGAAAUGCCUCUGGAACUUCACAAGACCAGCCAAAUACCUCCAUCAGGGAGAAGUGGGCCUGUCAUCGUGCAUCUCAGUGCCAGUGUCCAUUGUCCCUUCCAGAGGUGUAUUACCAGAUUGUAGCUGGAAGUAUGCUACAACCAGUACCUAGAACAGAACCGACUCUCCCUGAAGGGACUGGCCUAGCUGCCCAUCCAGGACAGGCGGUGCAGCCCUCUAGCCAGGGAAUGGAUUAUUCAAAAAGUUGUAUUUACUUGUAAAAAUUUAAAUGUUUAUUAAAAGCCUUAUUUGAAAUAUAA
Molecule: long non-coding RNA, 375 nt
Organism: Passer domesticus (house sparrow)
Lineage: Eukaryota; Metazoa; Chordata; Aves; Passeriformes; Passeridae
Exons: 2
Source: RefSeq, a predicted model, not a curated record